CCUACGGGAGGCAGCAGUGGGGAAUAUUGGGCAAUGGGCGCAAGCCUGACCCAGCAACGCCGCGUGAAGGAAGAAGGCUUUCGGGUUGUAAACUUCUUUUGUCAGGGACGAAGCAAGUGACGGUACCUGACGAAUAAGCUACGGCUAACUUCGUGCUAGAGCCCGCGGUAGUACGGAGUUGGCAGGCGUUAUCCGGAUUUACCGGGUGAAAAGGGCGUGUAGGCGGGACUGCAAGUCAGAUGUGAAAUCCACGGGCUCAAGCUGUGACCUGCAUUUGAAACUGUAGUUCUUGAGUGCUGGGGAGGCGGGCGGAAUGCGUGGUGUAGCGGUGAAAUGCAUAGAUAUUAGGAAGAACACCAAUGGCGAAGGCAGUCUACUGAACAGCGACUGACGCUGAGGCGCGAAAGCGUGGGGAGCAAACAGGAUUAGAUACCCUUGUAGUC
Molecule: ribosomal RNA, 443 nt
Filed under: uncultured bacterium
Lineage: Bacteria
Description: partial 16S ribosomal RNA
Rfam family: Bacterial small subunit ribosomal RNA
Source: RNAcentral